GUCGAGCGCGGGAAGCUAACUGAAUCCUUCGGGAGGACGUUAGUGGAACGAGCGGCGGACGGGUGAGUAACACGUGGGCAACCUGCCUGUAAGACUGGGAUAACCCCGGGAAACCGGGGCUAAUACCGGAUAAUACUUUUCUUCGCAUGAAGGAAAGUUGAAAGAUGGCCUUUGGCUAUCACUUACAGAUGGGCCCGCGGCGCAUUAGCUAGUUGGUGAGGUAACGGCUCACCAAGGCGACGAUGCGUAGCCGACCUGAGAGGGUGAUCGGCCACACUGGGACUGAGACACGGCCCAGACUCCUACGGGAGGCAGCAGUAGGGAAUCUUCCGCAAUGGACGAAAGUCUGACGGAGCAACGCCGCGUGAACGAAGAAGGUUUUCGGAUCGUAAAGUUCUGUUGUUAGGGAAGAACAAGUGCCGUUCGAAUAGGGCGGCACCUUGACGGUACCUAUCGAGGAAGCCCCGGCUAACUACGUGCCAGCAGCCGCGGUAAUACGUAGGGGGCAAGCGUUGUCCGGAAUUAUUGGGCGUAAAGCGCGCGUAGGCGGUUUCUUAAGUCUGAUGUGAAAUCUUGCGGCUCAACCGCAAGCGGUCAUUGGAAACUGGGGAACUUGAGUGCAGAAGAGGAGAGCGGAAUUCCACGUGUAGCGGUGAAAUGCGUAGAUAUGUGGAGGAACACCAGUGGCGAAGGCGGCUCUCUGGUCUGUAACUGACGCUGAGGUGCGAAAGCGUGGGGAGCGAACAGGAUUAGAUACCCUGGUAGUCCACGCCGUAAACGAUGAGUGCUAGGUG
RNAcentral lists this ribosomal RNA (794 nucleotides) under Gracilibacillus sp. NH23. Its description in RNAcentral is "bacterial SSU rRNA". It matches the Rfam family "Bacterial small subunit ribosomal RNA", at positions 61 to 822 of the family's 1533-position model. The record is from RNAcentral. Lineage: Bacteria; Bacillati; Bacillota; Bacilli; Caryophanales; Bacillaceae.